CUGGCUCAGGAUGAACGCUGGCGGCGUGCUUAACACAUGCAAGUCGAACGAAGCAGCUUCUGCUGCAAGAAAGCUGACUUAGUGGCGGACGGGUGAGUAACGCGUGGGUAACCUGCCUCAUACAGGGGGAUAACAGUUGGAAACGACUGCUAAGACCGCAUAACCCGCUAGUGUCGCAUGACACGGACGGAAAAAUAUUUAAUUUUAACGAGUUAAAAUUUGGUAUGAGAUGGGCCCGCGUCUGAUUAGCUAGUUGGUAAGGUAACGGCUUACCAAGGCGACGAUCAGUAGCCGACUUGAGAGAGUGAUCGGCCACAUUGGGACUGAGACACGGCCCAAACUCCUACGGGAGGCAGCAGUGGGGAAUAUUGGACAAUGGGGGAAACCCUGAUCCAGCGACGCCGCGUGAGUGAAGAAGUAUUUCGGUAUGUAAAGCUCUAUCAGCAGGGAAGAUAAUGACAGUACCUGACUAAGAAGCCCCGGCUAACUACGUGCCAGCCGCCGC
This 505-nucleotide ribosomal RNA is filed under the name uncultured bacterium. RNAcentral's name for it is "bacterial SSU rRNA". It matches the Rfam family "Bacterial small subunit ribosomal RNA", at positions 19 to 518 of the family's 1533-position model. The record is from RNAcentral.